UACGGAGGGUGCGAGCGUUAAUCGGAAUUACUGGGCGUAAAGGGUGCGCAGGUGGCUGGAUAAGUUAUAUGUAAAAGCCCCGGGCUCAACCUGGGAAGGCCAUAUAAUACUGUUUGGCUGGAGUAUGAGAGAGGGCAGUGGAAUUUCCGGUGUAGCGGUGAAAUGCGUAGAGAUCGGAAGGAACACCAGUGGCGAAGGCGGCUGUCUGGCUCAAUACUGACACUGAGGCACGAAAGCGUGGGGAGCAAACAGG
Molecule: ribosomal RNA, 253 nt
Filed under: uncultured bacterium
Lineage: Bacteria
Description: partial 16S ribosomal RNA
Rfam family: Bacterial small subunit ribosomal RNA
Source: RNAcentral